RNAcentral lists this ribosomal RNA (767 nucleotides) under uncultured bacterium. Its description in RNAcentral is "bacterial SSU rRNA". It matches the Rfam family "Bacterial small subunit ribosomal RNA", at positions 28 to 776 of the family's 1533-position model. The record is from RNAcentral.
AUUGAACGCUGGCGGCAGGCCUAACACAUGCAAGUCGAGCGGCAGCGACUUAACUGAACCUUCGGGGAACGUUAAGGGCGGCGAGCGGCGGACGGGUGAGUAAUGCCUGGGAAUAUGCCCUGAUGUGGGGGAUAACUAUUGGAAACGAUAGCUAAUACCGCAUAAUCUCUUCGGAGCAAAGAGGGGGACCUUCGGGCCUCUCGCGUCAGGAUUAGCCCAGGUGGGAUUAGCUUGUUGGUGAGGUAAUGGCUCACCAAGGCAACGAUCCCUAGCUGGUCUGAGAGGAUGAUCAGCCACACUGGAACUGAGACACGGUCCAGACUCCUACGGGAGGCAGCAGUGGGGAAUAUUGCACAAUGGGGGAAACCCUGAUGCAGCCAUGCCGCGUGUGUGAAGAAGGCCUUCGGGUUGUAAAGCACUUUCAGUAGGGAGGAAGGUAGUGUAGUUAACACCUGCAUUAUUUGACGUUACCUACAGAAGAAGCACCGGCUAACUCCGUGCCAGCAGCCGCGGUAAUACGGAGGGUGCGAGCGUUAAUCGGAAUUACUGGGCGUAAAGCGCAUGCAGGCGGCCUGUUAAGUCAGAUGUGAAAGCCCGGGGCUUAUCCUCGGAAUUGCAUUUGAAACUGGCAGGCUAAGUCUUGUAGAGGGGGGUAGAAUUUCAGGUGUAGCGGUGAAAUGCGUAGAGAUCUGAAGGAAUACCAGUGGCGAAGGCGGCCCCCUGGACAAAGACUGACGCUCAAUGCGAAAGCGUGGGGAGCAAACAGG